GUAAUUUAUUAUAGGAAGUUUUUUAUGAAUUUUAUUUUUUAUAUAGAAAAUUUUACUUUAAGUAAUUAUCAAUUACUUUUUUCCUAUCAUAAACCAAGUCAAACAUCAACAAAGAGUUAGUUAGUAAAGAAUGAAUGCAUUGCGAAAUAGGGAUAAAAACAAAUCCAUAAGGAAACCAAGUAGUAAAGGUCAACUGUUGCACUAGAAUACCAUCCUGUCAUACUGGUAAUUAUUACUUUAUUGCUUAGUGUUGAUGAAUAGAUGAUGGCUGUAAUAAUUUUUCACUUACUAAAGCCUUGAAAGGAUAAAAAAUACACUAUUCUAGAAUCUGAUUUAAUUAAGUUUUUUAGAAUACUAAUUUAAUUAAUUAAUAACCCUAUAGUGAAGUAUUAGGUUUUUCCACAUUUAUUAUUGAAUUUUUAAUCUUUUAGAUUAUAAGAUACAUUUAAUAAUUAUAUUAUUAUUAAUAUAAUAAUAUUAAUUAUUAAAUAAAGUUGAACUCGUACGU
Molecule: unclassified non-coding RNA, 508 nt
Filed under: Hevea brasiliensis (rubber tree)
Lineage: Eukaryota; Viridiplantae; Streptophyta; Magnoliopsida; Malpighiales; Euphorbiaceae
Source: RNAcentral